UGGGGGAACGCAAGUACUACACAACUUCAAAAUAGAACAACAAAUUCAUUCUUAUAUCCUAAACUUUUUGGCAUACAGAUCCUCUUUGGCUUUUAGAACACUAGGUUUAGAGAAUUAACAAAUUUUUCGAUAUAGCAUUUCCAUGUCUUUGGGCAAAUCUCUAUGAUAUGAACAAGGCAAAGAAUCUGAAGUUUGAUAAUCUUUAGACUCUCUUCAUAAUUAACGUAUCCAAUACCUUCAAAGAUGAGAUUUUUUAGGCAAUUUUCCCAUGCUUAAGAUGAGCAACAUCCAGCCUUUUU
This 299-nucleotide unclassified non-coding RNA is filed under the name Hevea brasiliensis (rubber tree). Lineage: Eukaryota; Viridiplantae; Streptophyta; Magnoliopsida; Malpighiales; Euphorbiaceae. The record is from RNAcentral.